RNAcentral lists this long non-coding RNA (439 nucleotides) under Physcomitrium patens. RNAcentral describes it as "long non-coding RNA (PPAT_LNC006269)". Lineage: Eukaryota; Viridiplantae; Streptophyta; Bryopsida; Funariales; Funariaceae. The record is from RNAcentral.
UCACUUGUAAAGAUAGUAUAGGUACCUUUCCUUCUAAUAUUUUAUCAACUAGUUGGAAGAUUCUUAUUGGUCAAAAUUUUAGAACCAACAAAUCAAUAUUAGAAUAUAUAGACAUAUUCAAUACUUUAUAACUCAAAGUAUAGAAUGUAUCUUUAACACUAGUAUCUCUAUCUUGUGUUGAAGUUAAAAUAGAAGAUUUUAUUGUAGAAUCAAUAUCUACAAGAUUAAUUGAUAAGGGCAAUUACACAUGAAUAUUAAAAUCUCCACAAUUAUUUGGUUGGCCAAACAACUUUUUAAUGCCUUAUUUAUUAUAGGUACCAUAUUUUUAGCUAUUAUUUGGACACAUAUUAUAGUUUCAACUACCAUUUGUUUCGAUAUAUGAAAUAUAUAAUUUUUUGGAAAAAAAAUUAUUCUACUUCUAAAUUUUUUAUGAAAUCUA